CUACGGGGGGCAGCAGUGGGGAAUAUUGGGCAAUGGGCGCAAGCCUGACCCAGCAACGCCGCGUGAGGGAAGAAGGUUCUCGGAUUGUAAACCUCUGUCCUUGGGGACGAAGAAAGUGACGGUACCCAAGGAGGAAGCUCCGGCUAACUACGUGCCAGCAGCCGCGGUAAUACGUAGGGAGCAAGCGUUGUCCGGAAUUACUGGGCGUAAAGGGUGCAUAGGCGGCAUAUUAAGUCAGGUGUGAAAUAUUCGGGCUCAACCCGAAGGGUGCAUUUGAAACUGGUAUGCUUGAGUGUGAGAGAGGAAAGUGGAACUCCUAGUGUAGCGGUGAAAUGCGUAGAUAUUAGGAGGAACACCAGUGGCGAAGGCGACUUUCUGGCUCAUAACUGACGCUGAGGCACGAAAGCGUGGGUAGCAAACAGGAUUAGAUACCCCAGUAGUC
Molecule: ribosomal RNA, 442 nt
Filed under: uncultured bacterium
Lineage: Bacteria
Description: partial 16S ribosomal RNA
Rfam family: Bacterial small subunit ribosomal RNA
Source: RNAcentral